Molecule: long non-coding RNA, 772 nt
Organism: Eurytemora carolleeae
Lineage: Eukaryota; Metazoa; Arthropoda; Copepoda; Calanoida; Temoridae
Exons: 3
Source: RefSeq, a predicted model, not a curated record
CGUUUCUCAGGUAUAUCUUUUCAGACUCUUGUAAUGGCUUGGUUGGACUAGAUUCCUUUUAUAUCUUUCAUCUAUCAGGACGCCAGCAUAUAUUUGAUCUACAGAAACGUGUUUCCAUACAGCAAAGAAUGGUUUAAACUUUUAUACAGUUGCAUACUUCAAGUCUGGACGCGGGAUACAAAGAACGGUUACUUGAGAUGGAAUCUAGGUUGAGGUUUCGGGGUCUGGUGUUCGGUUUCUCAUUUUCACAGAAAUCCUCUGAAACCUAGCACCAGGAGGAACCAGAGAUACGGUGGAACAGACGGGAACCCGAGGAACUCAAGUGGAGAGUAGAGGAGGCCAGUUUUAGACCAUCCUUCAUAAACCAUGUUACAGGACCAGGAUAUACAAUUUCUCCGGGUUCAGGAUUCAAUACAGGAUAUCCACACCUUGGCUUAGGAUAUACAGUUUCUCCGGGUUUAGGAUACACUAGGAAAUAUCCACAUCUUGGUCUAGGAUUAACAGUUUCUCCGGGUUCAGGAUACACUAGGAGAUAUCCACACCUUGGUCUAGGAUACAUCAUGGUGUGAAGCAGUGUUUAACAGAAUGUGUAAAGUGAAAUUUGAAGCUUCAAGCAUAAUUUCCAAGAUGAAAGUGAUCCAUUGAAAAAUUUGAAUUUAGCCCAGAGAGGGUUUAAUGACUUAAUUGGUCCUAAACCCCCUAGAUUUGUAGACCUCAACGACGGCAAGGAACGGAGCUUCACAAGGGUGUCAUGCUACAAGAUGCCAAAAGG